RNAcentral lists this ribosomal RNA (382 nucleotides) under uncultured bacterium. Its description in RNAcentral is "bacterial SSU rRNA". It matches the Rfam family "Bacterial small subunit ribosomal RNA", at positions 28 to 412 of the family's 1533-position model. The record is from RNAcentral.
GACGAACGCUGGCGGCGUGCUUAACACAUGCAAGUCGAGCGGUAAGGCCCUUUCGGGGGUACACGAGCGGCGAACGGGUGAGUAACACGUGGGUGACCUGCCCUUAGCUCUGGGAUAAGCCUGGGAAACUGGGUCUAAUACCGGAUAUGACCUCAUGACUCAUGUUGUGGGGUGGAAAGCCUUGUGCGGCUAGGGAUGGGCCCGCGGUCUAUCAGCUUGUUGGUGGGGUAAUUGCCACCAAGGCGACGACGGGUAGCCGGCCUGAGAGGGCGACCGGCCACACUGGGACUGAGACACGGCCCAGACUCCUACGGGAGGCAGCAGUGGGGAAUCUUGCGCAAUGGGCGAAAGCCUGACGCAGCGACGCCGCGUGAGGGAUGAC